GAGUAAUAUAUCGGAACGUCCCCUAGAGUGGGGGAUAACGUAGCGAAAGUUACGCUAAUACCGCAUACGAUCUAAGGAUGAAAGUGGGGGAUCGCAAGACCUCAUGCUCGUGGAGCGGCCGAUAUCUGAUUAGCUAGUUGGUAGGGUAAAAGCCUACCAAGGCAUCGAUCAGUAGCUGGUCUGAGAGGACGUCCAGCCACACUGGAACUGAGACACGGUCCAGACUCCCACGGGAGGCAGCAGUGGGGAAUUUUGGACAAUGGGCGAAAGCCUGAUCCAGAAGGGCCGCGUGAGUGAAGAAGGCCUUCGGGUGUAAAUAUAGGGGGUCAGGGAAGAAACGGUGAGAGCUAAUAUCUCUUGCUAAUGACGGU
Molecule: ribosomal RNA, 371 nt
Filed under: uncultured bacterium
Lineage: Bacteria
Description: bacterial SSU rRNA
Rfam family: Bacterial small subunit ribosomal RNA
Source: RNAcentral